RNAcentral lists this unclassified non-coding RNA (391 nucleotides) under soil metagenome. RNAcentral's name for it is "partial contains 5.8S ribosomal RNA, internal transcribed spacer 2, and large subunit ribosomal RNA". The stretch from base 1 to 122 matches the Rfam family "5.8S ribosomal RNA", at positions 35 to 154 of the family's 154-position model. The record is from RNAcentral.
GAUGAAGAACGUAGCGAAAUGCGAUACUUGGUGUGAAUUGCAGAAUCCCGUGAACCAUCGAGUCUUUGAACGCAAGUUGCGCCCGAAGCCAUUAGGCCGAGGGCACGCCUGCCUGGGCGUCACACGUCGUUGCCCCCCCAUCUACUCCUUCGGGAUUGCGGGGGGCGGAUGAUGGCCUCUCGUGCGCCUCGUCGCGCGGUUGGCCUAAAUGCCAAGUCCUCGGCGACGCACGCCACGACAAUCGGUGGUUGCGAAACCUCGGUUGCCUGUCGUGUGCGGUCGUCGCGCAUCGAGGGCUCGAAAAAACUGCCGGGCUUCGGCUCGACUUUCAACGCGACCCCAGGUCAGGCGGGGUUACCCGCUGAAUUUAAGCAUAUCAAUAAGCGGAGGA